GAUAUUAGCACUGAACCGUCAGUGCUUAGGAUUCCAUCUUCUGAGGUUCAUCUGCCUUGGGGGUAGUGCCUGGCUUAAUUGCUGGGGCCUGGGUCUGUGUGAUUGGAAUAACCUUCUCAUUACCAGCCUGAGGCAGGGCCUUCUUUGGUGCAGAAAUA
Cryptotermes secundus is the source of this 158-nucleotide long non-coding RNA. RefSeq lists it as uncharacterized. The record is from RefSeq and is a predicted model, not a curated record. The transcript has 2 exons. NCBI's taxonomy places the organism in Eukaryota, Metazoa, Arthropoda, Insecta, Blattodea, Kalotermitidae.